AUGCAAGUGCAGGCGGCCGCUACCAUACGGCUUUGUCUUGCGGAUCUGGUCAUGUAUCAUGUCAGGGACGAAGAUACUCCUAAGGGAAUUUGGGACAAGUUGAAAUCAUUAUAUGUAUCGGCGACCAAUAAGUUGUAUUUGAAGCAAAAGUUCUAUGGGCUGAAGAUGUAGGAGAUGUCGGAUCUUGUGGAGCAUGUGAAUGCCUUUAAUCAAUUGGUCACGGAUCUAGCACGUCUGGAUGUGAAGAUUGAGGACGAGGAUAAGGCACUACUUCUUGUUUUGUUGCCACCGUCCUAUGAGCAUUUGGUCAUUACAUUGACACAUGGAAAGACAACCGUCAAUAAUAAGGAAGUCACUGCAGCGUUGCUUGGACAUGAGUUGAGGAAGCAAAAGAAUGCUACAGAGGAGAGUACUCAAGGUUUGGGGUUGACAGUUAAAGGUUAUCAGUUCAGGAAGGGAUAA
RNAcentral lists this ribosomal RNA (462 nucleotides) under Triticum aestivum (bread wheat). RNAcentral describes it as "partial small subunit ribosomal RNA". The record is from RNAcentral. Lineage: Eukaryota; Viridiplantae; Streptophyta; Magnoliopsida; Poales; Poaceae.